CGGUGGGUAAAGCCGGGGGUUCCGGCGAGCGGCCUGUAAAGCCGCGCCCGUAUGCGGGGAGUGGUUCGAGUCCACACCCACCGACCA
This 87-nucleotide transfer RNA is filed under the name Parvularcula dongshanensis. RNAcentral describes it as "tRNA-OTHER". The record is from RNAcentral. Lineage: Bacteria; Pseudomonadati; Pseudomonadota; Alphaproteobacteria; Parvularculales; Parvularculaceae.